GGCUGGUCUGAUGGUAGUGGGUUAUCAGAAUUAUAACACUAAUGUUUCACUAAAGCUGGUAUACAACCCCUGACUCCUACAUUUGACUGGCUUUUU
This is a Y RNA of Callithrix jacchus (white-tufted-ear marmoset), 96 nucleotides long. It matches the Rfam family "Y RNA". Rfam says of the family: Y RNAs are components of the Ro ribonucleoprotein particle (Ro RNP), in association with Ro60 and La proteins. The Y RNAs and Ro60 and La proteins are well conserved, but the function of the Ro RNP is not known. Lineage: Eukaryota; Metazoa; Chordata; Mammalia; Primates; Cebidae. The record is from Ensembl.